RNAcentral lists this transfer RNA (53 nucleotides) under Alaria esculenta (Atlantic wakame). RNAcentral's name for it is "partial tRNA-Ile". Lineage: Eukaryota; Phaeophyceae; Laminariales; Alariaceae. RNAcentral also lists the same sequence under 11 other names. The record is from RNAcentral.
CGGUUUGUAGUUUAAUUGGCAAAACAUAGUUCUCAUGAAGCUAACAAUGUAGG